AAACUAGAAUUCAUCACCGGUCUGAUAUAGAAUUUGCUGUUCAAGGGUAUCAAUGGAACGUUACAAGGAAGGGGUGUAAAUUAUCUAUAGUGGUUGCAUCGGUGCAGUGAACAUCAGGUGACUGGAGCCCCUUAAAGCGCUUGCGCACAUGUUCUCUCUCAUCUUAUGCUCUCUCGCUGCGGAGGUUGUGGAUUCCUGCCAAAGAGCUACAGCGAAUUGAGAGGUUUGGGCAGUCGUUUCGCAUCUCUGGUCACAUGGGUGAGGACGUGAGGGGUCACUCGCACUGUCAACUAAACAGCCUACGUACGUGCAGAGUCUUUCCAUCGAACAUGGAAACCAUUUAAGACAGUCACUUUGAAGAAUCUCCCGCACUGGAUUGGGCAUGGAGAAAUAAGAAACUCUUGCGACCUAAAUCCUUCAACCCACCACAAUCUCGACUCUCGACUCUCCAUCAUAUAGCCAUCUACAGAGCACGUUUUCCCCAAAAUCGCCGUUGAAGGAGUACAUAUUCCCAGAGCAGCCCGCCUUCAUCAGGAUAAAUUAAUUGAGCCUUGAACUAGAAGCCCCAGUUCUUGUAUCAGCGCUUUCAGCUGCAGCUACUCACUAGCCUCCACAAUCCAUUAACCAGGCUCUGGCUACAGAAAGGGACUGAAACCUCCUACAUCAUGAGCCUCUCUGUAUUGAAACUCGACUCAAACCCUAUCUCAAUUUCCCAGAAGAGCUUCUAUGGAGCAAGGGCUGGAGGCGAGAGGUCUGUUAUGCAACUUCCCUCUGCUUCUAGGGCCUUUCAGCAGGUUGUAAUAUGUUCUGCCAAAGCUGUGACUCCUUCGUCUCCAUUGGGAGUGGCUGCGCAGACAGGAGAUGUGCCAGAACGAAUUGGAUCGCUGAGUCAGGUUUCGGGUGUUUUGGGUUCUCAAUGGGGUGAUGAAGGAAAAGGGAAGCUCGUUGAUAUCUUGGCUGGGCAUUUCAAUAUUGUCGCUCGCU
Macadamia integrifolia is the source of this 984-nucleotide long non-coding RNA. RefSeq lists it as uncharacterized. The transcript is spliced from 3 exons. Lineage: Eukaryota; Viridiplantae; Streptophyta; Magnoliopsida; Proteales; Proteaceae. The record is from RefSeq and is a predicted model, not a curated record.